RNAcentral lists this ribosomal RNA (414 nucleotides) under uncultured microorganism. RNAcentral describes it as "bacterial SSU rRNA". It matches the Rfam family "Archaeal small subunit ribosomal RNA", at positions 330 to 745 of the family's 1478-position model. The record is from RNAcentral.
GCGCACCAGGCGAGAAACCUCCGCAAUACACGAAAGUGUGACGGGGCCAUCCCGAGUGCCGUCCGCUGAGGACGGCUUUUCCCCAGUGUACAUAGCUGGGGGAAUAAGGAGAGGGCAAGCCUGGUGUCAGCCGCCGCGGUAAUACCAGCUCUCCGAGUGGUGGGGACGCUUAUUGGGCCUAAAGCAUCCGUAGCCGGCUGGGCAAGUCCUCCGUUAAAUCCAACGAUUCAAUCGUUGGGCUGCGGGGGAUACUGUCCAGCUUGGGGGCGGGAGAGGCCGACGGAAUUCUCGGUGUAGCGGUGAAAUGCGUGGAUAUCGAGAAGAACACCAGUGGCGAAGGCGGCUCCCUAUUCUGACACUGACACUGAGGCACGAAAGCUAGGGGAGCGAAAAGGGAUUAGAUACCCGCGUAGU